GUCUUUGUAGUAUAUGUCAAUACACUGGUCUUGUAAACCAGCAAAGGAAUUAACCCUCCCCAAGACU
Non-coding RNA from Manis javanica (Malayan pangolin), 67 nucleotides. The record is from the annotation of a RefSeq genome assembly. NCBI's taxonomy places the organism in Eukaryota, Metazoa, Chordata, Mammalia, Pholidota, Manidae.